AGUAACACGUGGAUAAUCUACCCGACAGUCAGGGAUAACAUUUCGAAAGGAAUGCUAAUACCUGAUAAGCCUACGCCCUCUUCGGAGGAAGUAGGAAAAGGUGGGGACCUUCGGGCCUGCCGUUGUCGGAUGAGUCCGCGGCCCAUUAGCUAGUUGGUAGGGUAAUGGCCUACCAAGGCUACGAUGGGUAGCUGGUCUGAGAGGAUGAUCAGCCACACUGGAACUGAGACACGGUCCAG
RNAcentral lists this ribosomal RNA (239 nucleotides) under uncultured bacterium. Its description in RNAcentral is "partial 16S ribosomal RNA". It matches the Rfam family "Bacterial small subunit ribosomal RNA", at positions 109 to 334 of the family's 1533-position model. The record is from RNAcentral.